UCCAGGGUAGCCUAGUGGACAUGGCACCUGCCCGGUAAGCAUAAGGUUGUGGGUUCGAUUCCCGCCCCUGGAC
This 73-nucleotide transfer RNA is filed under the name Cordylochernes scorpioides. RNAcentral's name for it is "tRNA-Thr". It matches the Rfam family "tRNA". From Rfam's summary of the family: Transfer RNA (tRNA) molecules are approximately 80 nucleotides in length. Their secondary structure includes four short double-helical elements and three loops (D, anti-codon, and T loops). The record is from RNAcentral. Lineage: Eukaryota; Metazoa; Arthropoda; Arachnida; Pseudoscorpiones; Chernetidae.